Molecule: non-coding RNA, 21 nt
Organism: Caenorhabditis elegans
Lineage: Eukaryota; Metazoa; Nematoda; Chromadorea; Rhabditida; Rhabditidae
Source: Ensembl
UUUGUGUGCGAAUGUCAUAAC